GAUGAACGCUGGCGGCGUGCCUAAUACAUGCAAGUCGAGCGAACGGACGAGAAGCUUGCUUCUCUGAUGUUAGCGGCGGACGGGUGAGUAACACGUGGAUAACCUACCUAUAAGACUGGGAUAACUUCGGGAAACCGGAGCUAAUACCGGAUAAUAUUUUGAACCGCAUGGUUCAAAAGUAAAAGGCGGUCUUGCUGUCACUUAUAGAUGGAUCCGCGCUGCAUUAGCUAGUUGGUAAGGUAACGGCUUACCAAGGCAACGAUGCAUAGCCGACCUGAGAGGGUGAUCGGCCACACUGGAACUGAGACACGGUCCAGACUCCUACGGGAGGCAGCAGUAGGGAAUCUUCCGCAAUGGGCGAAAGCCUGACGGAGCAACGCCGCGUGAGUGAUGAAGGUCUUCGGAUCGUAAAACUCUGUUAUUAGGGAAGAACAUAUGUGUAAGUAACUGUGCACAUCUUGACGGUACCUAAUCAGAAAGCCACGGCUAACUACGUG
This 497-nucleotide ribosomal RNA is filed under the name uncultured bacterium. Its description in RNAcentral is "partial 16S ribosomal RNA". It matches the Rfam family "Bacterial small subunit ribosomal RNA", at positions 28 to 507 of the family's 1533-position model. The record is from RNAcentral.